UACGAAGGGGGCUAGCGUUGUUCGGAAUUACUGGGCGUAAAGCGCGCGUAGGCGGUUUUGCAAGCCAGAGGUGAAAUGCCUGAGCUCAACUUAGGAAUUGCCUUUGGGACUGCGAGGCUUUGAGGACUGGAGAGGUGAGUGGAAUUCCCAGUGUAGAGGUGAAAUUCGUAGAUAUUGGGAAGAACACCAGUGGCGAAGGCGGCUCACUGGCCAGUUUCUGACGCUGCAGCGCGAAAGCGUGGGGAUCAAACAGGAUUAGAUACCCUGGUAGUCCACGCUGUAAACGAUGAGUGCUAGGCGUCGGCACGCUUGCGUGUCGGUGCCGCAGCUAACGCGUGAAGCACUCCGCCUGGGGAGUACGGUCGCAAGAUUAAA
This 375-nucleotide ribosomal RNA is filed under the name uncultured bacterium. Its description in RNAcentral is "bacterial SSU rRNA". It matches the Rfam family "Bacterial small subunit ribosomal RNA", at positions 524 to 898 of the family's 1533-position model. The record is from RNAcentral.